Lupinus albus (white lupine) is the source of this 457-nucleotide non-coding RNA. NCBI's taxonomy places the organism in Eukaryota, Viridiplantae, Streptophyta, Magnoliopsida, Fabales, Fabaceae. The record is from the annotation of a GenBank genome assembly.
GAGGGAUGUAGCACAGCUUGGUAUAGCUUUUGUUUUGGGUACAAAAUGUCAGGGGUUCAAAUCCUGUCAUCCCAAAAUAUUACUUAUCCUAUGAACAGUAACAAUAUAUCACAAUAUAUAUUGUGAUAUAUUGAUAUAGUAUAUGCAUGCAAGAUGUAUUGGGGUCUCAUAAAAUUAUUUAUGAGAAUAAAGCGCUCUUAGUUCAGUUUGGUAGAACGUGGGUCUCCAGAACUCGAUGUCGUAAGUUCAAAUCGUAUAGAGCGUGAUUCAAUUCUUGUUAGAUCCAGACAUAAUGACACUGCGAAAUAUUUGAACCACAGUCUAAAGUCUGAAUUUGACCUCUGGGAUUAGGAUUAAAACAAAGAAAUAGUAGGUCAAUAAACAAAAGAGGUGUUAAUUGAUCAAAGGUCUAACUGAUCACCACGUCGGUAUUGUAAAUAUGCAGUUACGAAUAAUC